This is a long non-coding RNA of Mastomys coucha (southern multimammate mouse), 1172 nucleotides long. RefSeq lists it as uncharacterized. The transcript has 2 exons. The record is from RefSeq and is a predicted model, not a curated record. Lineage: Eukaryota; Metazoa; Chordata; Mammalia; Rodentia; Muridae.
GUAUCUUCAGGAUUCCUACAUAGACUGAAGACCAGGAGCUCUCUCAGAAUUUCCCAGGAUUCUAGCCUCAAUAGGGACUGUUAAGACACUCAGUUUUGUGGGUUGAACAUCUGCUGGUUUCUCUGACUUUCUAUCACAAGAUGGCCAUUGUUGGACUAUCUGGGCCUGAAAGCUACUCUUCUCUCUCUGCCUCUUUCGGUUUCUCUGUCUCCCUCUCAUUUUAACAGUUCUCUUCCUUUAGAGAACCCAGACUAAACACAUACCCAUAGAUUGGCAGACUCUUUAAACACAUGUAUCUGACCCUUAGAAGGGAAGUGUGGCAGUCUACAUGUACUCAUGUCAGAGCUGGCUUAGCGGCUACCCCUGUUCAUGGUAGCUUCAGCAAUAGCCUUCAUUCUUUCUUAAUGGGUCAGUUAGAAACCCAAUGUAAAAGUAGCAAACAAUGGGCAGAAAGGGUUUGUUCCAAGUAUUUCUUUUCACAGAUGUAAUCUUGCCUGGGUCUCCAGAUGCUCUUCCCUCCAGGUAUGACUGGUUCCAAUGUGCCCCUGUUCAGAAGAAUAUAGCCCUCUCCAACCAACCUGAAUAAAGUCACAUUCUGAGAUGAACAUUUGGCUCCAGGGACAUUUUUCACAAAAGUUGAUAAAAUGGAUGCAUGAGAACUGUGCAAAGACAAUCUCACCCAGUCAUGAAGUGUAUGUCAAAUCUCAAGAGUUUAUGGAGUCUGGAUACAGCUGAAGGAGGCUCUUCUGAGAGCAAAGGAGAGGUUGCGGAAGAUCUGGCAGUGGUGCCCUAGCCCGCAGGGUGAUGCUCUUGCCUUGCUACUGAGGUACUGCUUCCUGUCAGUUACCAAUCGGCUCAAAGACCAAAGGUGUCCACACAUGUCAUCACCCAAGCGCUCUGCCAAACGCUGGAAAGAUCUGCUCCUGUGUUGUCUCGGAAGAUAGCUUUAUAUCUUUGUUCUUUUUUGGGGGUGGAGGAGUUGGUUGAUUAGACACAUACCCUCACACACAAACAUAUGUGUGUACACAUUUACACAAAAGGUUUGAGAUCUCUAUAGAUCCUUUUGGUCUCACAUACUUAAUAGACUACAAUGUACCACCAAAAUGACUUUUUGGUAACAAUGAGCAUUUCCUGGCUUUCUCUAAUAAACCUUAAGGCUUUACAAAUCCCAA